GUUGAACGCUGGCGGCGUGCCUAACACAUGCAAGUCGAGCGAACAGACGAGGAGCUUGCUCCUCGGACGUUAGCGGCGGACGGGUGAGUAACACGUGGGUAACCUACCUAUAAGACUGGGAUAACUUCGGGAAAUCGGAGCGAAUACCGGAUAAUAUAUUGAACCGCAGGGCUCAAUAGUGAAAGACGGCUUGGCGGUCACUUAUAGAUGGAUCCGCGCCGCAUUAGCUAGUUGGUAAGGUAACGGCUUACCAAGGCAACGAUGCGUAGCCGAACUGAGAGGGUGAUCGGCCACACUGGAACUGAGACACGGUCCAGACUCCUACGGGAGGCAGCAGUAGGGAAUCUUCCACAAUGGGCGAAAGCCUGACGGAGCCACGCCGCGUGAGUGAUGAAGGUCUUCGGAUCGUAAACCUCUGUUAUUAGGGAAGAACAAAUGUGUAAGUAACUAUGCACGUCUUGACGGUACCUAAUCAGAAAGCCACGGCUAACUACGUG
This 497-nucleotide ribosomal RNA is filed under the name uncultured bacterium. RNAcentral's name for it is "partial 16S ribosomal RNA". It matches the Rfam family "Bacterial small subunit ribosomal RNA", at positions 28 to 507 of the family's 1533-position model. The record is from RNAcentral.